AUGGCGCUGCCGCCACGAGCGACGAGGCGGCGAUGCUGCUGGCCAUCAGGGCGUCGCUCGUCGACCCACUGGGGGAGCUCCGGGGCUGGGGGCUCGGCGCCGCAUUGCGGCUGGAAGGGCGUGCGCUGCGACGACCUUGGCGCGGUCACCGGCCUUGACCUGGCGGGCAUGAACCUGAGCGGCACCAUCCCGGACGCCGUCCUCGGCCUCACCGCGCUCAACUCGGUCUUGCUCCGGGGCAACGCGUUCGCGGGCGUGCUGCCGACGGCGUUGGUGUCAAUCCCGAUGCUCCGGGAGUUUGACGUCAGCGACAACGGCUUCGCCGGCCGGUUCCCGGCCGGCCUCGGCUCUUGCGGCUCGCUGGCCCACUUCAACGCGUCCGGAAACAACUUCGUCGGCCCGCUCCCGGAAGACCUCGGCAACGCCACAGAGCUCAAGACGCUCGACAUCAGGGGCGGCUUCUUCUCUGGCACGAUCCCCAAGAGGUACGGCAGGCUCCGGAAGCUCAAGUUCUUGGGGCUCGCGGGCAACAACCUCAGCGGCUCUCUCCCGGCUGUGCUAUUCGAGCUCACGGCGCUGGAGCAGAUCAUCAUCGGCUACAACGAGUUCACCGGCCCGAUCCCGGCGGCCAUUGGCAAGCUCAAGAACCUCCGGUACCUUGACAUGGCGAUCGGCAGGUUGGAAGGCCCCAUCCCACCCGAGCUGACCGGAGGCGUGCCGGACGAACUCGGCGGUUGCGCGUUACUCAACGCCCUCGACAUGUCGAGCAACCGGCUCUCCGGCGCGAUCCCGACCGGCAUCGUCUCGUGCCACCGGCUCGCGUCUCUGAUCCUCGGGAGCAACCGCCUGACCGGUCAGAUCCCCGGCGCGGUGGCGACGAUGCCGGCACUGUCCGUCCUCGACCUCUCCAACAACUUCCUCUCUGGCGAGAUACCGAGCAGACUAGGCAGCUCGCCGGCGCUCGAGAUGCUCAGCGUGGCGCACAACAACCUCACCGGUCCCGUGCCGGCGACGGGGCUGCUGAAGACGAUCAACCCCGACGACCUUGCCGGGAACCCGGGCCUCUGCGGCGGCGUCCUGCCGCCGUGCACAGCCCGCGCUCCGCGGGCUUCAUCCUCCAUACCCCGGCGCUCGCACGUGAAGCACGACAUCGCCGCCGGGUGGGCAAUCGGCAUCUCGGUCACACUCGUGGUUUGCGGAGCCGCCUUCCUCGGUAAGGUGCUGUACCAGUGGUGGUAUGCCAAUGGUGCUUCACGCUGCGCCGCCGCCGAAAAGGACGGAAGCGUCUCGACGGCGUUCCAGCGGCUAGGUUUCACCGGCGCCGAGGUGAUCGCGUGCGUCAAGGAGAACAACAUCGUCUGCAGCAAGUCCAGCCACCCCUCAUGA
RNAcentral lists this ribosomal RNA (1386 nucleotides) under Triticum aestivum (bread wheat). Its description in RNAcentral is "partial small subunit ribosomal RNA". The record is from RNAcentral. Lineage: Eukaryota; Viridiplantae; Streptophyta; Magnoliopsida; Poales; Poaceae.